This 468-nucleotide ribosomal RNA is filed under the name uncultured Pseudomonadota bacterium. RNAcentral's name for it is "bacterial SSU rRNA". It matches the Rfam family "Bacterial small subunit ribosomal RNA", at positions 355 to 816 of the family's 1533-position model. The record is from RNAcentral. Lineage: Bacteria; Pseudomonadati; Pseudomonadota.
UGGGGAAUUUUGGACAAUGGGCGCAAGCCUGAUCCAGCCAUGCCGCGUGCGGGAAGAAGGCCUUCGGGUUGUAAACCGCUUUUGUCAGGGAAGAAAAGGUUCUGGCUAAUACCUGGGACUCAUGACGGUACCUGAAGAAUAAGCACCGGCUAACUACGUGCCAGCAGCCGCGGUAAUACGUAGGGUGCAAGCGUUAAUCGGAAUUACUGGGCGUAAAGCGUGCGCAGGCGGUUAUGCAAGACAGAGGUGAAAUCCCCGGGCUCAACCUGGGAACUGCCUUUGUGACUGCAUGGCUAGAGUACGGUAGAGGGGGAUGGAAUUCCGCGUGUAGCAGUGAAAUGCGUAGAUAUGGCGGAGGAACACCGAUGGCGAAGGCAAUCCCCUGGACCCUGUACUGACGCUCAUGCACGAAAGCGUGGGGAGCAAACAGGAUAGAUACCUGGUAGUCCACGCCUAAACGAUGUCAAC